Long non-coding RNA from Girardinichthys multiradiatus, 910 nucleotides. RefSeq lists it as uncharacterized. The transcript has 3 exons. Lineage: Eukaryota; Metazoa; Chordata; Actinopteri; Cyprinodontiformes; Goodeidae. The record is from RefSeq and is a predicted model, not a curated record.
CUAAAUGCAUUCCUUCUCCUUUAAGAGCCACAGACUGAGAGCCAUAAAAAGCGGUGGCUGAAAACAUUCACAACCAGCGAAGCAGUCGACCAACAGAUUUACUUUCUUGUUCCAGAGGCAAGCCCCGUUCUUCAGUGAUCUGCCAACCGCUUCUAACCAAGUAACUCCGGCAAAAAGCGGGGAAAAGUCCACGGGGAGCGCAGCACAAAUAUCCACGAACCAGCCGCAGGUAAAAGGGAGGGGUGGGGGGCAAAUAAAUCAGGGACAAAUCCACAAGGUCUCCGACAGCACAGCGAUUCUUUUUCUUAACAAGAAAGAAAUAGCUUGUCACUCUGUGCUCCUCCACUACAAAGGGGAAGGCUUUACAUGUGAUCUUUCUGCAAGAGAGCCUCUGGUUUGCAGCAGGCUGGAAAACGUGAAGUGGACUCAUGUUGGGUGCAGGGCUCAUUUCAGCUGUUUCUGCCCCAUCUAAAUAAACGGGAAACUACAGUGCUCCUUUAAAUGCAUUCACAGCUUAGGGUGAGUAUUCAGAGGUAAAACUAGCUGGGAGCCUGACAGGGGAGGAAAGCAGGCAGGCUGACACAAUUUGUGAGGAAAACGCUUCUGGACAUGAUGGAAGGAAGACCAGUGGGAAGGAAAAGCAGACAUGGAGCCUCUAAUGAAGUUCAGUUUCCAGCACACCCGGUGCAGUAAUCCAUCAGCUACGGACACAGCCGGAGAUAAACCAUGGCACAGUGCAGCUGGCUGAGAAAUAGACCUCCCGUCCUGCAGCAGUCAUAGAUCAGCCUGUGUCUGACGUGGCGGCACACAGCGAGACUGCGGCUGCUGCUUCUGGUUGUUUAUAUGGCACCUCCUGUUGGCCGAUGUAAUGUUAGCACCACUUAGUAACAAGUGCAAAAGACAGCUGCCG